This 253-nucleotide ribosomal RNA is filed under the name uncultured bacterium. RNAcentral describes it as "partial 16S ribosomal RNA". It matches the Rfam family "Bacterial small subunit ribosomal RNA", at positions 524 to 776 of the family's 1533-position model. The record is from RNAcentral.
UACGGAGGGUGCGAGCGUUAUCCGGAUUCACUGGGUUUAAAGGGUGCGUAGGUGGGAAUGUAAGUCAGUGGUGAAAUCUCUGAGCUUAACUCAGAAACUGCCAUUGAUACUAUGUUUCUUGAAUUUUCUGGAGGUCAGCGGAAUAUGUCAUGUAGCGGUGAAAUGCUUAGAUAUGACAUAGAACACCAAUUGCGAAGGCAGCUCACUAAACUGUAACUGACGCUGAGGCACGAAAGCGUGGGGAGCAAACAGG